This 425-nucleotide ribosomal RNA is filed under the name uncultured bacterium. RNAcentral describes it as "partial 16S ribosomal RNA". It matches the Rfam family "Bacterial small subunit ribosomal RNA", at positions 354 to 796 of the family's 1533-position model. The record is from RNAcentral.
GUGGGGAAUCUUGCGCAAUGGGCGAAAGCCUGACGCAGCCAUGCCGCGUGAAUGAUGAAGGUCUUAGGAUUGUAAAAUUCUUUCACCGGGGACGAUAAUGACGGUACCCGGAGAAGAAGCUCCGGCUAACUUCGUGCCAGCAGCCGCGGUAAUACGAAGGGGGCUAGCGUUGCUCGGAAUUACUGGGCGUAAAGGGCGCGUAGGCGGCCCGGUAAGUCUGAAGUGAAAGUCCUGCUUUUAAGGUGGGAAUUGCUUUGGAUACUGUCGGGCUUGAGUGCAGGAGAGGUAAGCGGAAUUCCCGGUGUAGCGGUGAAAUGCGUAGAGAUCGGGAGGAACACCAGUGGCGAAGGCGGCUUACUGGACUGUAACUGACGCUGAGGCGCGAAAGUGUGGGGAGCAAACAGGAUUAGAUACCCGGGUAGUCC